CUCCUCAGGUUAUUUAAGAUCAAGAGACGCUACAGAGAUGUGCUGGGCACACUGUUUGUGCUGUUCUCACGACUGACCAGUUUGGCCGUGGUGAUCAUCAUGGUCUAUUAUUUCUUCGCUGUCAUUGGAAUGGAAAUGUUUCUCAAUGUCGACCUGAGGAACUGUUGCAAGAACUCCAGUAUGGCCGA
Long non-coding RNA from Haliotis rubra (blacklip abalone), 188 nucleotides. RefSeq lists it as uncharacterized. The record is from RefSeq and is a predicted model, not a curated record. Lineage: Eukaryota; Metazoa; Mollusca; Gastropoda; Lepetellida; Haliotidae. The transcript is spliced from 3 exons.